ACGGGUGCGUAACACGUGGGUAACAUGCCGGGAAGCGAGGGAUAGCCCAGGGAAACUUGGAUUAAUACCUCAUGUGGUCGAGAGACUAAAGGCGCAAGCCGCUUCCUGAUUGGCCCGCGGCCUAUCAGCUAGUUGGUGAGGUAAAGGCUCACCAAGGCGACGACGGGUAGCUGGUCUUAGAGGACGACCAGCCACACUGGAACUGAGACACGGUCCAGACACCUACGGGUGGCAGCAGUCGAGAAUCUUUCACAAUGGGGGCAACCCUGAUGGAGCGACGCCGCGUGGAGGAUUAAGGUCUUCGGAUUGUAAACUCCUGUCAUGCGAGAGCAAAGCCUGCAAAGGUCUGAUAGUAUCGCAAGAGGAAGAGACGGCUAACUCUGUGCCAGCAGCCGCGGUAAUACAGAGGUCUCAAGCGUUGUUCGGAAUCACUGGGCGUAAAGGGUGCGUAGGUGGCGCGGAAAGUCAGAUGUGAAAUCCGGGGGCUCAACCCCCGAAUUGCAUCCGAUACUACCGCGCUAGAGAACUGAAGGGGGAUCUGGAAUUCUCGGU
This 552-nucleotide ribosomal RNA is filed under the name uncultured bacterium. Its description in RNAcentral is "bacterial SSU rRNA". It matches the Rfam family "Bacterial small subunit ribosomal RNA", at positions 102 to 674 of the family's 1533-position model. The record is from RNAcentral.